This is a small nucleolar RNA of Octodon degus (degu), 76 nucleotides long. RefSeq annotates it as small nucleolar RNA SNORD66. The transcript has a single exon. The record is from RefSeq and is a predicted model, not a curated record. Lineage: Eukaryota; Metazoa; Chordata; Mammalia; Rodentia; Octodontidae.
UUCCGAUGAUGACUUCUUAUUAGUGCCACGUGUCUGGGCCACUGAAACCCGGUGAUGGAACUGAGGAGCUGAGGAA